GAUGAAGAACGCAGUGAAAUGCGAUAAGUAAUGUGAAUUGCAGAAUCCAGUGAAUCAUCGAAUCUUUGAACGCACAUUGCGCCCGCCAGCAUUCUGGCGGGCAUGCCUGUUCGAGCGUCAUUUCAACCCUCGACCUCCCCUUGGGGAGGUCGGCGUUGGGGGCCGGCAGCACACCGCCGGCCCUGAAAUGGAGUGGCGGCCCGUCUGCGGCGACCUCUGCGUAGUAAUACAGCUCGCACCGGAACCCCGACGCGGCCACGCCGUAAAACACCCAACUUCUGAACGUUGACCUCGAAUCAGGUAGGACUACCCGCUGAACUUAAGCAUAUCAAUAAGCGGAGGA
This 343-nucleotide unclassified non-coding RNA is filed under the name soil metagenome. RNAcentral's name for it is "partial contains 5.8S ribosomal RNA, internal transcribed spacer 2, and large subunit ribosomal RNA". The stretch from base 1 to 120 matches the Rfam family "5.8S ribosomal RNA", at positions 35 to 154 of the family's 154-position model. The record is from RNAcentral.